UACUACAGAAUGGGAAGCAGAUGGUUCAAGAGGGAGCCCUUACAGCUUUAGCAUCAGUGGCGGAUUCGUCUCAGGAGCACUUCCAAAAGUACUAUGAUGCAGUUAUGCCUUACCUUAAAGCUAUUUUGAUGAAUGCAACUGAUAAAUCCAAUCGAAUGCUUCGUGCUAAAUCAAUGGAGUGCAUAAGUUUGGUUGGAAUGGCUGUUGGUAAGGAGAAGUUCAGGGAUGAUGCUAAACAGGUUAUGGAAGUACUGAUGACAUUGCAAGGUUCACAAAUGGAG
RNAcentral lists this unclassified non-coding RNA (281 nucleotides) under Hevea brasiliensis (rubber tree). The record is from RNAcentral. Lineage: Eukaryota; Viridiplantae; Streptophyta; Magnoliopsida; Malpighiales; Euphorbiaceae.